This 1215-nucleotide ribosomal RNA is filed under the name Triticum aestivum (bread wheat). RNAcentral's name for it is "partial small subunit ribosomal RNA". The record is from RNAcentral. Lineage: Eukaryota; Viridiplantae; Streptophyta; Magnoliopsida; Poales; Poaceae.
AUGGAGUUCACCGCCGCGUCCAGCAGCAGCAGGCUGUCGAAAGAGGAGGACGAGGAGGAGGAGGGGGAGGAGAUGGAGGAGGAGGAGGCCUCCCCGCGUGAGAUCCCCUUCAUGACGGCCAUGACGGCGGCCGCCUCGUCCUCCUCCCCGACGUCCGCGUCCGCAUCUUCUUCAGCGGCGGCGGCCUCCGCGUCGGCGUCUGGGUCGGGCUCUCCCUUCCGCUCGAGCGACGGCGCUGGGGCGUCUGGGAGCGGGGCGGGCGGCGGCGACGUGGAGGUGAUCGACAAGGAGCACAUGUUCGACAAGGUGGUCACGCCGAGCGACGUGGGCAAGCUCAACCGGCUGGUGAUCCCCAAGCAGCACGCCGAGAAGUACUUCCCUCUGGACGCGGCGGCCAACGAGAAGGGCCUGCUGCUCAGCUUCGAGGACCGCGGGGGCAAGCUCUGGCGCUUCCGCUACUCCUACUGGAACAGCAGCCAGAGCUACGUCAUGACCAAGGGCUGGAGCCGCUUCGUCAAGGAGAAGCGCCUCGACGCCGGGGACACCGUCUCCUUCUGCCGCGGCGCCGCCGACGCCACGCGCGACCGCCUCUUCAUCGACUGGAAGCGCCGCGCCGAACUCCGCGACCCGCACCGCCUCGCGCGCCUGCCCAUGCCCAUGCCCACCUCCUCUCCCUACGGCCCGUGGGGCGCCGGACCGGGCGGUUUCUUCAUGCCGCCCGCGCCUCCAGCCACCCUCUACGAGCACCACCGCCUCCGCCAGGGCUUUGACUUCCGCAGCAUCAGUCCCGCCGCUCCGCCGAGGCCGCAGGUGCUCUACUUCGGCUCCGCGGGAAUUUUCCCGCACGCGACCAUGCCGCCUCCGCAGCCGCAACCUCCGCUGCACAUUGCGGUGCAACCGAGCCCGCCGGUCACGGUCGGCAUGCCCAUGGUCCUCGAUUCGACGCCACUCGUCAACAGCCCGACGGCGGCCGCGAAGCGCGUGCGUCUGUUCGGAGUCAACCUCGACAACCCGCACACCCACGGCGGCGAGUCAAGCAACGAUGCCAACGCAUUGUCGCUGCGGAUGCCGGGAUGGCAAAGGCCGACACAGUUUAGGUCGCUGGAAUUGCCCCAGCACGGUGCAGCCGGAGCGGAGUCGUCUGCGGCCUCGUCGCCGUCGUCAUCAUCAUCCUCCAAGAGAGAAGCGCAUUCCUCCUUGGAUCUCGAUCUGUGA